CCAAAUUCAAUUGAAUAAUAUUAAGCAAUCAAUUUGAAGAAGACAGAUCAAUAUACACAGAAUUUAGUUUAAUGAUGUCCAAUUUAGACACGAGCGACAUGCUAAAUUCACAGAAGAUAUCGAUAGUACAACGUCUCAAGAAUACUGUGUUCAAACAUUUCGAUAAAAUUUGUUAUGGUUAAAAUUCUACAGCCAUAAAAGUGACUGAGGAUCGGAACGUUGAUAGGAGCAGCAUGCAAAUAUAAUAAUAAUAUCAUAUAAUAUAAUAUAAUAAUCAUAAUACAAUAAUACAGAAAUAAAAAUAAUGUAAAAUAAUAUAAAAAUAAUAAUUUCUGUGCUAAAUAAAACGGCAAAAUUAACAGAACAAUAUUAAUGAGGAAAAUGUCAAGAAACUAUAACUUGGCUGGAUUUUAUCACAAAAUAUUAACGGACGCAAACAACACGCAAGUAUUUGGAAUGCCAGGUUGGCAAUGCAGCCUACUCCCACAAACCACCUCUGGAUCAAGAAGUUCAAGAUAUCAUUAAACCGAUACUGGAAGAUUUAACAAUUGAGGAGCUAUUGAAACAUUGUUUGGGUAGAAGCACUAAAAAUAACAACGAGAGUUUCAAUAAAUGCGAAUGGAAGCUUGCGCCCAAAGAGAUAUUCCAGGACAAAAAUAUUAUUAAAAUUUCAACUUGGACUGCAGCAUACUUUUUCAGUGAAGGAUGCAUGACUUCACUGAGGAUAUUAGAAGUAAUGGGAAUAAAUACCGGUUGCCAUGUAAAUGCUUUUAGUAGUCAACGAAAUCAAGAACGUAUCGCAUCAGCUGACUACCUAAGCAGCGAACGAACUAAGGAGUCCAGAAUGUAUAGAAAAAAAGAUAACAGUGAGUUGGAAGUUGAUCUCGAAAUAACCGAGGGAUUGCUAUAUGGUGCAGAAAUAGCUGAUUGAAGACUACCUGGUGACGAAUUUGGAUGGCGCUCAGUAAGGAGUAUUUUUAAAACACAUCGGUGCAGUCAAUGUCGUCUACAAGAUGAACCGACAGGAAAUUAGAAAAAUUUGUUCGUGCUUGAUUAAUGUAUAAAUAAAACUGCACUAUUUUAUUUCACCGAUUCCUUGAAGGAAAAUUCUAAAAAUGAUCCAUUUUUCGACCAUUUUAUCAUGAAAGCAUCC
Molecule: long non-coding RNA, 1153 nt
Organism: Cephus cinctus (wheat stem sawfly)
Lineage: Eukaryota; Metazoa; Arthropoda; Insecta; Hymenoptera; Cephidae
Exons: 3
Source: RefSeq, a predicted model, not a curated record